UGGGGAAUAUUGCACAAUGGGGGAAACCCUGAUGCAGCAACGCCGCGUGAGUGAUGAAGGUUUUCGGAUCGUAAAGCUCUGUCUUUGGGGAAGAUAAUGACGGUACCCAAGGAGGAAGCCACGGCUAACUACGUGCCAGCAGCCGCGGUAAUACGUAGGUGGCGAGCGUUAUCCGGAAUUACUGGGCGUAAAGGGUGCGUAGGUGGUUUCUUAAGUCAGAGGUGAAAGGCUACGGCUCAACCGUAGUAAGCCUUUGAAACUGGGAAACUUGAGUGCAGGAGAGGAGAGUGGAAUUCCUAGUGUAGCGGUGAAAUGCGUAGAGAUUAGGAAGAACACCAGUGGCGAAGGCGACUCUCUGGACUGUAACUGACGCUGAGGCUCGAAAGCGUGGGGAGCAAACAGG
RNAcentral lists this ribosomal RNA (403 nucleotides) under Clostridiales bacterium. RNAcentral describes it as "bacterial SSU rRNA". It matches the Rfam family "Bacterial small subunit ribosomal RNA", at positions 355 to 776 of the family's 1533-position model. The record is from RNAcentral. Lineage: Bacteria; Bacillati; Bacillota; Clostridia; Eubacteriales.